AGCCGGUGAUGACAAAUCAAAUUACUUUUCUGACACCUACUAUGAGAGCUGAACUCCAGCUCCUGAUUCUAACUUUUUCCCCCUGAGGCUU
Small nucleolar RNA from Micropterus dolomieu (smallmouth bass), 91 nucleotides. RefSeq annotates it as small nucleolar RNA SNORD60. The record is from RefSeq and is a predicted model, not a curated record. Lineage: Eukaryota; Metazoa; Chordata; Actinopteri; Centrarchiformes; Centrarchidae. The transcript has a single exon.